UAACGCGUAAAGAACUUGCCUCACAGCUAGGGACAACAUUUAGAAAUGAAUGCUAAUACCUGAUAUUAUGAUUUUAAGGCAUCUUAGAAUUAUGAAAGCUAUAAGCACUGUGAGAGAGCUUUGCGUCCCAUUAGCUAGUUGGAGGGGUAACAGCUCACCAAGGCGAUGAUGGGUAGCCGGCCUGAGAGGGUGAACGGCCACAAGGGGACUGAGACACGGCCCUU
This 224-nucleotide ribosomal RNA is filed under the name uncultured bacterium. RNAcentral describes it as "partial 16S ribosomal RNA". It matches the Rfam family "Bacterial small subunit ribosomal RNA", at positions 111 to 334 of the family's 1533-position model. The record is from RNAcentral.